This 500-nucleotide ribosomal RNA is filed under the name uncultured bacterium. RNAcentral describes it as "partial 16S ribosomal RNA". The record is from RNAcentral.
GGGCGGAGUGUACAAGGCCCGGGAACGUAUUCACCGCGACAUUCUGAUUCGCGAUUACUAGCGAUUCCAGCUUCGUGUAGUCGGGUUGCAGACUACAGUCCGAACUGGGACGUUAUUUUUGAGAUUUGCUCCCCCUCGCAGGCUCGCUUCUCUUUGUUUACGCCAUUGUAGCACGUGUGUAGCCCAAAUCAUAAGGGGCAUGAUGAUUUGACGUCAUCCCCACCUUCCUCCAGGUUAUCCCUGGCAGUCUCCCUAGAGUGCCCAUCUUACUGCUGGCUACUAAGGAUAAGGGUUGCGCUCGUUGCGGGACUUAACCCAACAUCUCACGACACGAGCUGACGACAACCAUGCACCACCUGUCUCCACUGCUCCGAAGAGAAGGACACAUUACUGKCCCGUCAGUGGGAUGUCAAGACUUGGUAAGGUUCUUCGCGUUGCUUCGAAUUAAACCACAUGCUCCACCGGUUGUGCGGGUCCCCGUCAAUUCCUUUGAGGUUCAU